Molecule: ribosomal RNA, 542 nt
Filed under: uncultured Glomeromycotina
Lineage: Eukaryota; Fungi; Glomeromycota
Description: SSU rRNA
Rfam family: Eukaryotic small subunit ribosomal RNA
Source: RNAcentral
GGAGGGCAAGUCUGGUGCCAGCAGCCGCGGUAAUUCCAGCUCCAAUAGCGUAUAUUAAAGUUGUUGCAGUUAAAAAGCUCGUAGUUGAAUUUCGGGGUUCUACCGUUGGUCGGGCUUUGUCUGUACUGGUGUGUAGAAUUUCUACCUUCUGGGGAACCAUCAUGCUAUUAAUUUAGCGUGGUGGGAAACCAGGACCUUUACCUUGAAAAAAUUAGUGUGUUCAAAGCAGGCUUAUGUCUGAAUACAUUAGCGUGGAAUAAUAGAAUAGGACGGUGGUCCUGUUUUGUUGGUUUCUGAAUCACCGUAAUGAUUAAUAGGGAUAGUUGGGGGCAUUAGUAUUCAAUUGUCAGAGGUGAAAUUCUUGGAUUUAUUGAAGACUAACUUCUGCGAAAGCAUUUGCCAAGGAUGUUUUCAUUAAUCAAGAACGAAAGUUAGGGGAUCGAAGACGAUCAGAUACCGUCGUAGUCUUAACCAUAAACUAUGCCGGCUAGGGAUCGGACGAUGUUAAUUUUUCUUGACUCGUUCGGCGCCUUACGGGAAAC